Molecule: long non-coding RNA, 1754 nt
Filed under: Marmota monax (woodchuck)
Lineage: Eukaryota; Metazoa; Chordata; Mammalia; Rodentia; Sciuridae
Source: RNAcentral
GCUGGGCAGCCUCUGUUAAUACCCUUUAAUGAGAGCAAUCACUGAGAGGUUCUCCGGGAGUACUUAAGACAGGUUAAUGAUUGUCCUGCCACGAUGUGAGGGCACUCUAUGAUGAAAGUGGAGCAGAUGAAAAUGUAAAGCAAUCAAUGUUUUCCAUUUUCUAGUUCAUUCAUUCAUCCCAUAUCUCAAUCUUCCAGCUGAACAGUCGAUUCACUGACGCCCUGUUUUCUUCGUUUUCCUGCUCUCUUGUUCAUACUGUAUAAUGAAGGAAUGAGAGAUUGGGAGAGCAAAUUAGUGUAAUGAACCACUGGCAUAUAAAACAGGAGAGAAGAGUCUGUGGGCAGAACACAGGCGGAACUAGAACAUGACAUGUGGUUGGAGAAAAGCAGAAACCCACGUUGGGUUUCAUGAGGGAAGGAGAAUGUGGAUGUUAGAAUUACUAGUAAAAAUUCGGUUACUCAGUAAACUCAAGAAUGAUUUUGUGAAGGUCCUGUAUCAGCUAUCUAUCACCUUAUGCUGGUAACCGAUAACCACAUGCUUCAGUGGAAUUCAACAAUAAGCACUUGCUCAGGCACAAAUGUCUGGAGUCAGCAAAGGACCAACUAUGAGGUUCUGUGGAACUGCUACUAGCUCCCCACUCAGGGUCAGCUCACUAUCUACUGAUCUUAGCUGGGUUCACCCAGGCACUGAAGUUGAGCUGGCUUGUUCAUGCAUCUGCUGACAUCCAGUUGGCCAAAGCAAGUCACAUGACUGAGGCCAGUGGUAAAGUGUUUGGAGGUCACCCCUGCCUUCAGUGCAGUGGGAGGGUGUUCAAAUUUACAAGGCAAAGGGUACAACUGUUAAUGGCAAUCACCCUUAACAAAGGCUGAGAGCACCUGCUUCAUCAACAGUUAACACCACUCUUAGCCUCUAAUUUUUUUUUUACUCUGGGUUAGGUCUAAGAACAUGGUCAUUUUCUAUAGCCUUGGUGGGCACAGACAUAUUGUACAACUGGGGAGUCUGGACUUUAGUAUGCAAUAUGCCAACAGAUUGCAGACACCAAGAGUAAUGACAUUUUCAUAGAGAUUGAGCAUCUUGGUCUAUUUUGUGCUGUUAUAGGACAAAAUGGACCAAGACUAGUGAAUUUAUUAAAAAAAAAACACAGAAAUUUAUUUUCUAACAGUUCUGGAGGCUAUGAAGUCUAAUGUCAAGAUGUUGGCAUUUUGCAAGGGCCAUCAGCUGCAUCAUUUUAUGGUGGAAGGCACAAAGGAAAGAGCACUUUAGAGCAAGAAGGGGCCAAGUUUCCUUAUAUACAAGCACACUCUUGUAAUAAUGGUAAUCUAUCCAUGAAGGAGGAGGCUUCACCUGAUCACCUCUUGUAAGUCCCAUCUCUUAACAUUGUAUUAGGGAUUAGAUUUCCAACACAUGAAUUUUUUUCAACACUGUCAAACAGUAGCAUUAUGGAUUUACCUUUAUAGCUUCGUAUUGUUGUCUCAGUGUUCCCAAUACCCUUCCCUUCAACACUGAGGUGUGUUCUCUCUGGGGACAGGUGAAGUCAUGAUGGCAGCCAACCAGUCCUAAGAAAAUUAAUAAUUAACACUGAAAUAAAUAUAUUUUCUUCCUUUCCUCUUCAAAUGAAUAAAUAAUUCUAAGUAUAUUAAUAAAACAUGGUACUAAACAAAUCUCUGUGGUUCCUAUAUUGUACAACCCUAGCUCCCAUCUUAUCAACAAGACUGAGCCAAAUGCUUUUUUUUAAUUUUCCAUGAAUAUUUUCU